UGAGGCAAAAAGGCGUCGUGGG
RNAcentral lists this non-coding RNA (22 nucleotides) under Rattus norvegicus (Norway rat). Lineage: Eukaryota; Metazoa; Chordata; Mammalia; Rodentia; Muridae. The record is from RNAcentral.